Dromaius novaehollandiae (emu) is the source of this 2342-nucleotide long non-coding RNA. RefSeq lists it as uncharacterized. The record is from RefSeq and is a predicted model, not a curated record. Lineage: Eukaryota; Metazoa; Chordata; Aves; Casuariiformes; Dromaiidae. The transcript has 5 exons.
GCUCGCCUCGCCUCGCCUCGGCCCCGGGCCGCAGCACCGCGGGGAGCCCGGCUCUGGUGCCGCCGCGGUGGGGUCGACCGCGAUGUUCACCCGCCCGUGGGCGCCGGCGGCGCGGGGCGAUGGCAGCGCCGGGAUGGUGGCGGGAGCAGCGCGCCCCCGCGCUCCUCGGCCGCAGACAAAAUGGCGCCCCAAGGCGGGGCGCUCCGCAAGCGGGCCGGGCCGGUGCGGGGCGCCGGGGCCGGCAGGUACGAGCUGAGCGCGGCGCCUUUCCGUGAAUCCCGGCGUGGGGCGGUGCUGCUUGGUGCGCGGGUGCGGAGCCGAGCGGCAGCCGCGUUGCCAACCUGCUGCCCCGGCUGCUGCGUCUGUCCUAAACGUGUCUUCUGGGAGGCAGUGGAAGGCUACGCAGAACAGUCCAAAAAUCACUUCGGUUCCUUUUAGAGGCUGGGGAAGAAACAGUAGUGAGGAGCCAGUAACUACAGCCACAGUGCAAGUUUAACCUGGAAUAGAGGCUGCUGCUUUGGAGGCGCAGAUGCUCUAGGAAAGUGAUGCACCUCCAGGAGUUGAUGCCUGCGUCCAGGAGUGUGCAAAGGCUGUAGUCUGAACGCCCGUACGCAGUUAACUAGACACUCAGGAUGAAGAUAGUUGUUGUCAUAUGCUCUUAUUCUGAGAUCUGCUGGUUUGGUUGGCUACCACUAGACUCGUCCUUGUUCUCAGAUGCUGUCUUCGUACAUUUAGUGGCACUGAGAAGCACAGUUUUGAACCUACGUAAGAUGGAACAUAACAGAGGACAAAAAGCUCAUGAAGCGGCACGUGACAUCUUUUAUCGGAUUUAGCAGUAAUCACAAUUUCCAUAAUGCACGCAACUUCAAGCUUCUGAAAUCAGUAAGGCAAACUAUUAUUUUGACGCUUCUGAGACAUUCUUUCCAUAGGUGUACCUUUUCCAUAUUUAGCUGCAAGAAAUAUAGAACCAGAAUUCUGUGUAUAUCAAAUUACCCAAAUGUACAAAUAAAAUAAUAAAAAAGGGGCAGUAUCCCCCUCUCAGUCUUGACCAUUAGGACUGAGAGGAGUAGCUCUUUAAUAAUCAUAUAUAAUUCUUAAUAUAAGCUCACACACUUCUCAUAUAACAACUGCACAUUAAUAACUUAGAUGGAGACUUUUAUUUGCCCCAAAUUAUUUUUGAUUUAGAUACAUAUGAAGCAUUGUGAAAAAGGGCAAAAAAGGAUAUGGAAAGCAAAGAGGGGUAAGUGUGUACUCUUUUCUGAGGAUUCUAGACUUCUGGGAAAGAUCUAUUCCUACCCAGCAGGACAGUUGCCUCUGAAGUGGGAACCAUUCAUCUCCAUUAGUACCUUAAAAUAUGGAAGCUUCCCUGGAUCAUUUUUUCCUGAACAGGACGAGUUACUUGACUGCAACAUUGUUCCCCCCCCCAGCCCCCAAACAGCUUCCAAAGUCAUUUAAACAUAACCACUUGCAUAAAAUUAAUGUAUAGCUGGUUUACAGUUAAGGUUCUGAAGUUUGAUGAAGAAAUUCCCACUUGACAGGCUACAAUGUGAUACUCAGUUAUUCCUUCCAGUCCAAAGUGCUUUGCAUAGGGGACUCAUUCUCAAGAGUAAGGUAUGCUGAAAGGGAGGAGUAAUUUAAAUUUAGGGCUAUGUAGCAUCAGAAAUUUACCAAGAUAUGCAAAUUUAAAGCUAUUACAGUAGAAGACUUUUUAAAAGUUAGUUUCCCUUAUUAAGCACAAUAUUGCUCAAAUCUUUAAGCCACACAGCAUAAGCAUGCAUUGUCCUUAGAAACUGCUCAAAUCAAGCUUAUUUCUUGGUACUUCGGAUACCUUUUUAGCCAAGUUACAUAUACAUCUGUAGUAUUUCUUACUAUAAUCACUAUACAGAAAUAUGUAUUACUAUGUAUACAUACACCCUUGUGCGAUUUCUUGUUACAUCUGAAAAACUCCUGCAGUAUAUUGGUGAAACUAACAUGCAAAAACCUUAUGUAUUGCAUGGAGGUUUCUUUAAAUAAGGUUUAAUUCUGGCCUGAAUGCAUACAUGGAACACAGGUUAAAGUAUGUAAAUAUGUAAAUACACUAAAAGUAUACAGUUUUCUUACAUGGAGGAAAAAAACCUUUUAAACACUCAAAUAAAUAUAAUUAAAUAUAAUUUUAAACAACCUCCUUUUAGAAACGUUGUUUUAAAAGUAAAUGCAACUGAUAUGCUCAUUUCCUGCUUCUAGCAAUUAGCUGUUCUGCUAAAAGUUAAAUUGCAAAUUUAGGCAUAAAUAUUUUCUCAUUUUCAACUUAACAUACUGUUAAAAAUACUCUUACUCUAUUUCCUUAAAGAGAAUAAAUUUGA